Molecule: small RNA, 379 nt
Filed under: Arabidopsis thaliana (thale cress)
Lineage: Eukaryota; Viridiplantae; Streptophyta; Magnoliopsida; Brassicales; Brassicaceae
Description: ATSL033210
Source: RNAcentral
UCACAAUCAAGAUAUUAAUUUUGAUGGAAACUUUACUAUCCUUAACUAGAUUUUAACCCGCGGUAUACCGCGGGACGAUUUAUUUUUUAAAAGUAAUAUAUAUUAAAACUUGCAAAUUUUAUUUUUAUAAUAUAUUAUAUUUUACAGUUUAUAGUUGUUAUUAAGUAACGUUAUACCACAAAUCCAUGAGACAAUUGUAAAAAAACUGAAGUUUUAACCCCUAUUAAAACAGCAUAUUAAUAAUAUUUUAAAAUUUUAUAAAUACUGAUUCAAAUACAUCCACCAUAUAACUCAAUUCUAAAAUAAAACCCGUUCUGUAAUUUCUUUACCCGUUCCGUGAUUUAUUUUAAAGUAGUAAUUUUUAAAAUUUAAGAAUAAU